AGCAGAGGGAACAGUGCAGAGAGAGGGACAGAACAAAGGAGGUUAGCAGAGGGAACAGUGCAGAGAGGGACAGAACAAAGGAGGUUAGCAGAGAGAACAGUGCAGAGAGGGACAGAACAAAGGAGGUUAGCAGAGGGAACAGUGCAGAGGAGACGGCUGAAACAAGGAGGUUAGCAGAGAGAACAGUGCAGAGGAGACGGCUGAAACAAGGAGGUUAGCAGAGGGAUCAGUGCAGAGGAGAGGGC
Oncorhynchus keta (chum salmon) is the source of this 245-nucleotide long non-coding RNA. RefSeq lists it as uncharacterized. The record is from RefSeq and is a predicted model, not a curated record. The transcript has 3 exons. NCBI's taxonomy places the organism in Eukaryota, Metazoa, Chordata, Actinopteri, Salmoniformes, Salmonidae.